GCCGAUGUGGUGGAAUGGUAGACACGGGGGAUUCAAAAUCCCCUGCCUUAACAGCGUGAGAGUUCGAGUCUCUCCAUCGGUACCA
Molecule: transfer RNA, 85 nt
Filed under: Lysobacteraceae bacterium
Lineage: Bacteria; Pseudomonadati; Pseudomonadota; Gammaproteobacteria; Lysobacterales; Lysobacteraceae
Also listed under: 1 other name
Description: tRNA-Leu
Rfam family: tRNA
About the family: Transfer RNA (tRNA) molecules are approximately 80 nucleotides in length. Their secondary structure includes four short double-helical elements and three loops (D, anti-codon, and T loops). Further hydrogen bonds mediate the characteristic L-shaped molecular structure. tRNAs have two regions of fundamental functional importance: the anti-codon, which is responsible for specific mRNA codon recognition, and the 3' end, to which the tRNAs corresponding amino acid is attached (by aminoacyl-tRNA synthetases). tRNAs cope with the degeneracy of the genetic code in two manners: having more than one tRNA (with a specific anti-codon) for a particular amino acid; and 'wobble' base-pairing, i.e. permitting non-standard base-pairing at the 3rd anti-codon position.
Source: RNAcentral